UGGGGAAUAUUGGACAAUGGGCGAAAGCCUGAUCCAGCCAUGCCGCGUGUGUGAAGAAGGUCUUCGGAUUGUAAAGCACUUUAAGUUGGGAGGAAGGGCAGUAAGCGAAUACCUUGCUGUUUUGACGUUACCGACAGAAUAAGCACCGGCUAACUCUGUGCCAGCAGCCGCGGUAAUACAGAGGGUGCAAGCGUUAAUCGGAAUUACUGGGCGUAAAGCGCGCGUAGGUGGUUCGUUAAGUUGAAUGUGAAAGCCCCGGGCUCAACCUGGGAACGGCAUCAAAAACUGGCGAGCUAGAGUAGGGCAGAGGGUGGUGGAAUUUCCUGUGUAGCGGUGAAAUGCGUAGAUAUAGGAAGGAACACCAGUGGCGAAGGCGACCACCUGGGCUCAUACUGACACUGGGGUGCGAAAGCGUGGGGAGCAAACAGG
This 429-nucleotide ribosomal RNA is filed under the name Pseudomonadota bacterium. Its description in RNAcentral is "Proteobacteria bacterium partial 16S ribosomal RNA". It matches the Rfam family "Bacterial small subunit ribosomal RNA", at positions 355 to 776 of the family's 1533-position model. Lineage: Bacteria; Pseudomonadati; Pseudomonadota. The record is from RNAcentral.